This 612-nucleotide ribosomal RNA is filed under the name uncultured bacterium. RNAcentral describes it as "bacterial SSU rRNA". It matches the Rfam family "Bacterial small subunit ribosomal RNA", at positions 338 to 951 of the family's 1533-position model. The record is from RNAcentral.
CCUACGGGAGGCAGCAGUAAGGAAUAUUGGACAAUGCCCGCAAGGGUGAUCCAGCCAUGCCGCGUGCAGGAAGAAGGCGCUAUGCGUCGUAAACUGCUUUUACACCGGAGAAAACCUCCCCUCGUGAGGGGAGCUGAUAGUAUGGUGAGAAUAAGCAUCGGCUAACUUCGUGCCAGCAGCCGCGGUAAGACGAAGGAUGCAAGCGUUAUCCGGAUUCAUUGGGUUUAAAGGGAGCGUAGGCGGCCCUGUAAGUCAGUGGUGAAAUCUCUCGGCUUAACCGAGAAAUUGCCAUUGAUACUGCAGGGCUUGAGUACAGUUGCUGUGGGCGGAAUAUGACAUGUAGUGGUGAAAUACAUAGAGAUGUCAUAGAACACCGAUUGCGAAGGCAGCUCACAAAACUGUAACUGACGCUGAGGCUCGAAAGUGCGGGGAUCAAACAGGAUUAGAUACCCUGGUAGUCCGCACUGUAAACGAUGAUUACUCGCUGCUGGGAGGUAACUUUCAGUGGCUUAGCGAAAGCGAUAAGUAAUCCACCUGGGGAGUACGCCGGCAACGGUGAAACGUUAAAGGAAUUGACGGGNNGAGAGNGCGAGGACGACACGAGGGAGGAGG